UUCAAGAGAACGUGAAAUCGUUGAAGUGGAACCGGAGAGAGUUGACGUAGUAUGGUGGAUAAGUAUUGCAAGAAUCGCUUCAAACAAUGAAUGUGAUCGAGUAAUAUGUACGUCACCAAAGACUGCGCUGACAGCAUCGACUACACGCUCUGAACUGUGUUGACAUGUUGCCUAUUCUAGUAUAUAGAAUGGUGUCUUGUGUUACGUGGUGAAGUUUGUUGUUAUGUUGUUGAUGUUGAUAAKUAUGAUUAUACACCAAGUAUAAUUAUGUCAGUGUAAAAGUCAACCACCUCUCCGACCCGUCUUGAAACACGGACCGAGGAGUGUAACUUGUACGCGAGUCAUUGGGUGGAAAAACCUUAAGGCGAAACGAAAGUGAAGGCACGGUUAACCGGCUGACAUGGGAAACGUGCGGUAUUGUUAGCGAGACGUUACACCAUGGCCCUGUCUUGUCUGCAUGCAGAUGGGCAGCGGUAGAGCGUACAGGUUGCGACCCGAAAGAUGGUGAACUAUGCCUGAGCAGGACGAAGUCAGAGGAAACUCUGGUGGAAGUCCGUAUCGGUUCUGACGUGCAAAUCGAUCGAUAGACUUG
Molecule: ribosomal RNA, 592 nt
Filed under: Crenosoma striatum
Lineage: Eukaryota; Metazoa; Nematoda; Chromadorea; Rhabditida; Crenosomatidae
Description: eukaryotic LSU rRNA
Rfam family: Eukaryotic large subunit ribosomal RNA
Source: RNAcentral